Molecule: ribosomal RNA, 534 nt
Filed under: uncultured bacterium
Lineage: Bacteria
Description: bacterial SSU rRNA
Rfam family: Bacterial small subunit ribosomal RNA
Source: RNAcentral
UGGUCUUGACAUAGUAAGAACUUUCCAGAGAUGGAUUGGUGCCUUCGGGAACUUACAUACAGGUGCUGCAUGGCUGUCGUCAGCUCGUGUCGUGAGAUGGUUGGGUUAAGUCCCGCAACGAGCGCAACCCUUUUCCUUAUUGCCAGCGGGUUAAGCCGGGAACUUUAAGGAUACUGCCAGUGACAAACUGGAGGAAGGCGGGGACGACGUCAAGUCAUCAUGGCCCUUACGACCAGGGCUACACACGUGCUACAAUGGUCGGUACAAAGGGUUGCUACCACGCGAGUGGAUGCUAAUCUCAAAAAGCCGAUCGUAGUCCGGAUUGGAGUCUGCAACUCGACUCCAUGAAGUCGGAAUCGCUAGUAAUCGCGGAUCAGAAUGCCGCGGUGAAUACGUUCCCGGGCCUUGUACACACCGCCCGUCACACCAUGGGAGUUUGUUGCACCAGAAGUAGGUAGUCUAACCUUAGGGGGGACGCUUACCACGGUGUGGCAGAUGACUGGGGUGAAGUCGUAACAAGGUAAGCGUAGAUGA